CAGAAAAUUUUAUUUUUAUUUACAAUAAAAAUUUAGUUAUUAAUAAUAACUUUUUUGA
RNAcentral lists this transfer RNA (58 nucleotides) under Youtuus strigatus. RNAcentral's name for it is "tRNA-Val". The record is from RNAcentral. Lineage: Eukaryota; Metazoa; Arthropoda; Insecta; Hemiptera; Caliscelidae.